UGACCGCACACUCGGAGGCUUAAAACGACACCACUUACACUCAUUUAUGAAAGAAUGCCUGAAAUAAAUGUGUUUAUGACUCUGAGGCUCUGAGCCCUCUUUCCAGAGGCCUCCUUUUAUGCCAGGAAAGACUCCAUCUUGGAAGCCUUGGAUGAGAAGCAGAAACAUCCCAACCAUCUGAUCUGGGGAAAACAAGCCCUUUGGAAGUCCAAAACACACCGAAGAAAAUGAUAUUGCUUUGAGGCCUCAGAGUGCCAGGAGUCACGCGUCUCCGCAGAAACCUGGACCUACAAAGAUGUCACCAUGCGACGCCUUGCU
Tupaia belangeri chinensis (Chinese tree shrew) is the source of this 318-nucleotide long non-coding RNA. RefSeq lists it as uncharacterized. NCBI's taxonomy places the organism in Eukaryota, Metazoa, Chordata, Mammalia, Scandentia, Tupaiidae. The record is from RefSeq and is a predicted model, not a curated record. The transcript has 3 exons.